CCUACGGGAGGCUGCAGUGAGGAAUAUUGGUCAAUGGGUGGGAGCCUGAACCAGCCAAGCCGCGUGAGGGAAGAAGGUACAGCGUAUCGUAAACCUCUUUUGUCAGGGAACAAAGGCGGGGACUAGUCCCCGGAUGAGGGUACCUGAAGAAAAAGCAUCGGCUAACUCCGUGACCGCAGCCGCGGUCAUACGGAGGAUGCGAGCGUUAUCUGGAUUUAUUGGGGUUAAGGGGUGCGCGGGGGGCCUGUUAAGUCAGCGGUAACAGCUAGGGUGUCAACCCAGGCGGGCCGUUGAAACUGGCGGGCUGGAGUUGGAGAGAAGUACGCGGAAUUCGCGGUGUAGCGGGGAAAUGCUUAGAUAUCGCGCAGAACCCCGAUUGCGAAGGCAGCGUACCGGCUCCACACUGACGCUGAGGCACGAAAGCGUGGGGAGCAAACAGGAUGAGAUACCCCAGUAGUC
Molecule: ribosomal RNA, 459 nt
Filed under: uncultured bacterium
Lineage: Bacteria
Description: partial 16S ribosomal RNA
Rfam family: Bacterial small subunit ribosomal RNA
Source: RNAcentral